GACGAACGCUGGCGGCGUGCUUAACACAUGCAAGUCGAACGGUGAAGCGCCUUCCUUUUUGGUGGGUGUGGAUGAGUGGCGAACGGGUGAGUAACACGUUAGUAACCUUCCCCCUUCUUCUGGAUAACCGCAUGCAAGUGUGGCUAAUACGGGAUAUUCUGGGUCUGUCGCAUGAUGGGUCUGGGAAAGAUUUUGUGUCGGUGGGGGAUGGACUCGCGGUGUAUCAGCUGGUUGGUGGGGUGAUGGCGUACCAAGGCAGCGAUGAAGAGCCGACCUGAGAGGAUGGUGGACGGCCACAGAGGGGCGGCGACACGGAGCAGACUCCGACGGGAGGCAGCAGUGGGGAAUAUUGAACAAUGGGAGGAAGGAUGAAGCAGCGACGCGGCGGGAGUGAUGGAGGCCGUAGGGUUGUGAACUGCUUUCGCGAGUGAAGCAGGCCUGCAUCGUUUGUGGGUGGGUUGACAGUAGCUGGACAAGAAGCGCCGGCUAACUACGUG
This 497-nucleotide ribosomal RNA is filed under the name uncultured bacterium. Its description in RNAcentral is "partial 16S ribosomal RNA". It matches the Rfam family "Bacterial small subunit ribosomal RNA", at positions 28 to 507 of the family's 1533-position model. The record is from RNAcentral.